UACGUAGGGUGCAAGCGUUAAUCGGAAUUACUGGGCGUAAAGCGUGCGCAGGCGGUUUUGUAAGUCCGUCGUGAAAGCCCCGGGCUCAACCUGGGAAUUGCGAUGGAGACUGCAAGGCUUGAAUCUGGCAGAGGGGGGUAGAAUUCCACGUGUAGCAGUGAAAUGCGUAGAGAUGUGGAGGAACACCGAUGGCGAAGGCAGCCCCCUGGGUCAAGAUUGGCGCUCAUGCACGAAAGCGUGGGGAGCAAACAGG
Molecule: ribosomal RNA, 253 nt
Filed under: uncultured bacterium
Lineage: Bacteria
Description: partial 16S ribosomal RNA
Rfam family: Bacterial small subunit ribosomal RNA
Source: RNAcentral